RNAcentral lists this ribosomal RNA (517 nucleotides) under Ditylum brightwellii. RNAcentral's name for it is "partial Bacterial small subunit ribosomal RNA". It matches the Rfam family "Bacterial small subunit ribosomal RNA", at positions 11 to 523 of the family's 1533-position model. The record is from RNAcentral. Lineage: Eukaryota; Bacillariophyta; Thalassiosirophyceae; Lithodesmiales; Lithodesmiaceae.
GUUUGAUCCUGGCUCAGAUUGAACGCUGGCGGCAUGCCUUACACAUGCAAGUCGAACGGUAACAGGAAGAAGCUUGCUUCUUUGCUGACGAGUGGCGGACGGGUGAGUAAUGCUUGGGAACUUGCCUUUGCGAGGGGGAUAACAGUUGGAAACGACUGCUAAUACCGCAUAAUGUCUUCGGACCAAACGGGGCUUAGGCUCCGGCGCAAAGAGAGGCCCAAGUGAGAUUAGCUAGUUGGUAAGGUAACGGCUUACCAAGGCGACGAUCUCUAGCUGUUCUGAGAGGAAGAUCAGCCACACUGGGACUGAGACACGGCCCAGACUCCUACGGGAGGCAGCAGUGGGGAAUAUUGCACAAUGGGGGAAACCCUGAUGCAGCCAUGCCGCGUGUGUGAAGAAGGCCUUCGGGUUGUAAAGCACUUUCAGUUGUGAGGAAAAGUUAGUAGCUAAUACCUGCUAGCCGUGACGUUAACAACAGAAGAAGCACCGGCUAACUCCGUGCCAGCAGCCGCGGUAA